This is a long non-coding RNA of Amphiprion ocellaris (clown anemonefish), 3689 nucleotides long. The record is from Ensembl. Lineage: Eukaryota; Metazoa; Chordata; Actinopteri; Pomacentridae.
CUCAUUUUUCACGGCGGUAUAAAGUCCUCCACCCACAUGGAAUCAGCACAGCCAUAGAUAGAGGGAGUCCAAAUGUCCUUCGUGCAGUAUGACACUAUUAUAAUGCCAUAAAUAAUAGAAAAAGACAGGAUGAAGUAGAUUUUCUUAGACUAAAUGUUUUACAAAACUUAAAACAGAAAAUGGAAUCAACAUUUACAACAUUUCUUCACUUGCUCACAGAUGUUAUCAAUGCUAGAAAAAAGGAGGCUCACCAUGCUAUUUUAAAACCUCUUCAAACAAGGCUUUUCACACUACUUUGCACAUCAAUUCUAGAAAGAUUUUUUUGUUUGACCGCACUGAAUGCAUCUUCCAACAACUUUUUGAGAGCGUUUUCCUUUGUAUACCUUUUUUGAACCAUGUUGUGUUUCUUAAAUGCUUCAGAAGAAGUCAGCUGGACUUCUUCUUUGGUUCUUGAAGACAUUUCAUUUUUUAUCCAUGAGGCUUCCUCAUUUCUACGUGACUGAUGGGGAGUCCCAUCUGUUCCCCAGAAUCACAUGGCUAAUGGCCCGUUAAAGACUGCCUGGGUUAGGGUUAGGAAAGGGAUGACUGUGUGUUGGUACAGAUGGUAAUACUAUGUUAUACACCAAUCAGCCACAACAUUAUGACCACUGACAGGUGAAGUGAAUAACAUUGAUUAUUGGUACUAUGUGGUGUUCUGCUGGAAAACCUUGGAUUCUGGCAUCUGUGUUGGUGAGACUUAGACACCAAAAUAAACCUUGUCCCAGAACAAACACACUCAUUCAUGCAGAUGGAAAUCCUAAAUGUCACGGACCUAAUCCACCACAUUGCAAUAACAUCAAACAAUCAGGAACACAUUGAGGAACAUGACAAUCGCCCAAGAUGUUGAUUUGACCUCCAAACUUCCUAGACCCCAUUCUGAUCAAUCAUCAACAAGAUGCAGUGGAAUAAGUUUGAUUCCCAGAGAAACCACUGCACAACCCAGAGCACCCAAAGGAUCCUCUGCCAACGUCCUGUCCCCAUAGGACACCCUGAGAGGUCUUCUGGUCCAUGCCCAGUGGUUCAGAGCAUUUUUGACGACUUAAGGGGGACCAACACUAUAUUAGGCAGGCGGUCAUAAUGUUACACCUGAUUGGUCCCAUAGUGCGUAGUGUAGCGCUCUAACUGCACUACAAUAUUAUUCUGCUAUAGGGGAAGAAAAGUCUCUACCAAUCAAAGUCAUUGUGGGCGGGGUUAAGUGGAGGAUGCAGCUUAAGGUGUUCACUCAAAAAAGCCAAAUCUGGAAUUGUGAUGGAACAUUUACAUGCAGGGAAACCAGCAUAGUGAUUAAUCUUUUUCAGUGCUGCAACUUGUUGUUGUUUCCUGAGGUCAACAAAACUGUAAUCCAAUGGUAGCAUAAGACAGCAGAAUGCCGACUGACAUUAUCAGCCAAUGACAGGCUUAUAUCCGCAGACUGCAUUCAGUAAGUCGGACUCAGUUCUCUUUGACUGAAGUACUUGCCAUGACCCGGCUGACUAAGAAUCUAAACAGAUACAUGCCGCAUUUUUGAAAAAACAGAUUACGUGUUCCAUUGUCCUCUCAGUCUCUUUUGUUGUUGAAUUUUUCUCAUGUGACUGUUAGUCACAGAUGAGUCAGUCAUGGCUUUUUUUGUCGUGGGCAGAUUUUUUAUUUUUUUUUAACACAUUCAGGUGCAAAUGGUUUAUUUUUGGUGAUUUAAAAAAAAAAAAAGAGACGUAGAAUAAAAAUAAUUUUAAAGAAAUGUGACAACUUUGAGCUUGAAUUUGGUUCAUUUUUCUGUCUUAAACCUGCCACAUGUAUUUUCAAGGACUGUCAUGAAGUUGAAAAUCUGACGGUCUGCUCUUGGUUUUGAUAAAUGGUGUCAUUUUCUUGCUUUUUUAAAAGGUUUUGGGGCUCAGAGGCUUAGGCUAACUGUUUUCAGUCUUUGUGCAAAGCUAACUUGAUCCCAUUUCCAGUUUCAUGUUUACCGCACACGUCUAUCCUUCUACAAGAAAGUGAAUAAAUGUUGAAAAUAAGUCAUUCACUGUUGCAACUAAUGAUACCUCUGAAAAAAAUAGAGCAGCAAUGGAGAAGAGCUGCUCAUCGAGUGUAAUUUUCUUGAAAACAUAGUUAUCUGUCAGUGGAAUAACCUGUUAAAUGUUGAACUGCGCAGUGGAGAAAAUGAAUUAUGACCACAAUCACUUUAUCACUAACCUUAUUAAUAAUCUGCUGUAAGAACAACUGUAUUCACACCCAUUCAUCAUUUCAUAGACAUAGUUUUGGCUGAAGCGGACACAUUUUCAAAGUGAGUUAUGAUGACGGAGAUCAGCAGGAAUUACAGACUGAAGGUGGCUGAUUGCUUUGACAAAGACAGAGCCUAAAAGAGAAAAAUGUCAAGAAAACACAAAGUAAGAGGCAGAAUUCAUUUUUGGUGGUAAUUAGAGUAGGUUGUGCAGCAGAAACUAAACGUACUUAUAAGUUUUUUCUGCCUCUGAUGGAAGAUGGAAAGUGACUGUAGAGUGGAAUGAUGUUCACAUCUACAUGGAAACACAAUGACAUGUAAAAAACCACUCUGAGGUUGUGAUAUCUGCCAGCCUGCCGUGUGACUUUCACUUUGUGUUUUUAAAUGCUGUGAUAACGCUCAUUUUUCUCACCACUAACAGCAAAGAAUUUCUCCAUUUUGUACUAUUUUAGACUGAACAUGUGACUGCAUACUGUGAAAUGUUACAUACAGAUACUGUGUAAAUACUGUAAAAAAAAAACAACAAAAAAAUCACUGUAAUAUAUUUUACAGAUGACAUUUGUUGGAAAAAAAAGAAUAGUUUAAGAGCUUUACGGAUCGUUACGAAGGACCAAAUGAAGAAUUUGGUGCAGUGAACUAAAUUUAAUCUUAUUGCUGGUGACAUAAUUACAUGAAGUUUGGGUGUUUAAUCAUGUUUUCAUGCAAACCUGUUUAGCUUAUUUUCCUGUUUCCUUCCUGGUUUCAGAAUCUGAUAGGGUCAAUCAGGGCUGGAUGCAAAUUUCCGCUCUAAAUAUUUAAUUACUUACACUUUUUAUACUAAUAUUAACUGAAUAUUAACUAACAUCAUCCUCUAAAAUGUAAAGUUCUGAGAGAAAAAGGGAAAAAAUGUCAAGUUACAAUAACUGAAACUGCAUUUAUUAGAUUUUCUUUUCUUUUUUUUCUUUCUUUUUUUGUCAAAAAACCUGGAUUUCACUAAACAGUGUGUUUGGACCCAACAUCAGCAACACUCAAUAAAACAGUUGUUUACAUGUUUGCCUGCUGCGUCUGUCUGUUGUUGCUAUUUUUUGCUAUUGUAUAUUUAUGUGGCAGAAGAAAGACUUUAUUCACAUCUUACGAUUCAGAUCAGAGCUCCUUUCUUUGUGUCUGUCAAAACAGGAAUAGGAAGCCACCAGAUUCAGACAUUUUUUCCUGUUUAAACGGCUGUGAGCUGAACAGAUCUGCAGCAUCCAACCACAAAUCUCACUAAAUCUGUCUCUUCAGUUUGAGCUUUUACAACUCCAGCCUUGAUUAGGAAUGCUUGAUAAUUUUAUCACUGAGAGUUAUCUGAGCUUGUGUGAAACAUUAGAAGGGGGUUUGAUGCAUGAGCAGCUCUUGUCUUCAGGGUUUGAAGAAUUGUUAGCGGCUGUAAGUUUGCUUGAACAUCACAGCCGCCGUCAGUGAAGAAGAAUCAGCC